GUGGCAGCCGCCGCGGUAAUACGUAGGGUGCAAGCGUUAUCCGGAAUUAUUGGGCGUAAAGAGCUCGUAGGCGGUUUGUCGCGUCUGUCGUGAAAGUCCGGGGCUCAACUCCGGAUCUGCGGUGGGUACGGGCAGACUAGAGUGAUGUAGGGGAGACUGGAAUUCCUGGUGUGGCGGUGGAAUGCGCAGAUAUCAGGAGGAACACCGAUGGCGAAGGCAGGUCUCUGGGCAUUAACUGACGCUGAGGAGCGAAAGCAUGGGGAGCGAACAGGAUUAGAUACCCUGGUAGUCCAUGCCGUAA
Molecule: ribosomal RNA, 301 nt
Filed under: uncultured bacterium
Lineage: Bacteria
Description: bacterial SSU rRNA
Rfam family: Bacterial small subunit ribosomal RNA
Source: RNAcentral